UUGUGUCUUUCUGAGGUGAACUUGGUUUGCCUACAUUGCUAAGAAGAACAUUUUAUUUCUUGACCUGAGCAUAAAACAUAUAUGGGUAUCCAUUUUAAAUGUGCAUGGUUACUUCAAGAAGAAUGAAGAAUCUGAGCAACAUAAAAACUAUGUACUUGUAACUUUUGAGUGUUUCCUUUUAUGCGGUUCGAUUUAUAUUGCAAGAUGAGAAGAUUGGUUUGGAUUAAAUGAAUGUAGAAGCAUUGAAGAUGCUAAACAAGAACAAUAAGUUGCGCAUUGAAUGGGUUGAUCGUAGGUAAGGUGCCUUUGCUUGAAGAGUUCCACGGCCCUUCAAACAGGAUCUUUUGAGUUAUGCAUAGAGGGAAAGUAGUUGUGGAGAUUAAUACUGAAUCCCUUUUUUUUACUCAGAAUGUUUCAAAAUAUAUGCUCUAUGUUGGAAUUCAUAGAAAUUAUGAAUAUUUGAUACAUUAGGAGUUUUCGUUUUGAAAUGGACACCCUGAAAAUAAGUUACUUCUCUUUGGUGUUGGACUUAAAUAAACACCCUGAAAAUUUAUCUGUAGGGUUUGAGAUCCUGAUACUUACAUCCAAGGACAAAGACACUUUACCCCAAUUUGACAAGAACUUUUCCUUUUAGUAAUAGUUUAUUUCUUUCAAGAAAUCAAAUAGAAAUGGCAUAAGUUUAGUUUCCAUUGUUUUAUGGUUUCAAAGUAUUAGUUGUAUACAUAAUCAUUUGACACUCUAGUUGACCAGUGCUAGGAAACUGGUAGAGAGAUUGAAUAAACACAUAGAAUAAGUAUUCAAGUUCUAUAUUAGUGACAUGAUUAGAUUUUCUUUUCUGCUCCUUUGCUUUCUUUGUUUAUUUUUCUUCUUAAACAAGAAAAGCAAAGAUAUAAAAGAGAAUGCUUGCCAUUUGCAUGAACCAAUUUAGUACCUCUUAUAUAUUGAGGUAGUGCUUCAUAGAAAAAUAAGUCACCUUGUUGGAUUCAGUGUAAAAUGUUAUGAGUUGAGCUGAUCUGCUUAAAUAUGGGAUUAUGCAGCACAAUUAUUGUACUAUUUUCCCAUUUGCCUGGACUAGAUCCUGUAGGUGCUCUUAGAAAGAUUGAAGUAAAGGCUGUUUGGUUGAGAAGAAAGUAAGAAUUCGUACCAUUGUAAGAUCGUUUUCGGCAAUUAACAUCAGCCAAAGAUCUUGUUUGUAUAGAGCCGGUUGUAACUCUUAUGGACAAUUGCAUUUGUGGGUCGUGUUAAUACGUUGACACUAUGAAUUCUUCUGUCCACGUGUAAUUGCUUAGUGUUAGGAUCGACCUGAUUAAGCAACAAGUAAAAUAAAUAGCGGAAUAAACUGAAAAAUUGAACAUACAAAUUUAACGUUGAAAAACCCUUUCAAAGAGGAUAAAAAGUCACGGGCAAAGAUAAUUUUACUAUAAUGGCAAAAGAACGAAGAGUACAAAAGAUGCAAAUAAAAACUAAACCCCGAAAACCUGAAAACAAAGAACCCUCAAAACGUAAACACAAAAUUCUCUAAAUGUGUUAUGAGUUCUAAACUCUAAUGGAUGUAUUUUUAAAGUUGCAAAAGAACCUAUUUAUAGGCUAAAUUAGUAGGUCAAAUAAAAUAUCCUAAUAAAUAUUAAAUAUAUUAUACUAAUAAAUACUAAAUCUUCUAGAAAGAAUAUAUUUUGUUUAACUUGACUUGCAAGCAAUCUCUUAGAAUUUGAGUCACACAACUUUAACACUUACAGCAUGUUUGGUUGGGUGUAUUGGCUAUAAUCGGUGGGCCCCACUUAAGCCCCCUUUAUUCCGUUGUUUGGUUCAUGGUAAUGCUAUUACGGGUGUAAUACGUUACUUACCUAAUCGGUGAAAUCCACCGAUUUGUAAUGCAUCCCUUUUGCUCAGUUUAGGUCCUGAUUCAAUUUUCUUCCCUGUUUUAGCCUCUCGAUUGACGCUUCUGUCUUACCCAAAGUCUUCUGUUUCUUCCUUCUACCUUUCUUCUCCACUCUCCUCGCCGUUUCUCCUUCUCUUUUUUACCUCUCUUUGGCGUCACAACUAGACUUCGAACACCGAUCAGAAAGCAGCCUCCAUCUCACAGUUUCUGUUCCUCUCCAUCGGUGAAACUGUGUUCUGUCCAUUGGAACCGUUCCCGGUGGGUCGUGCCCAUCGACUGCUAAAAACAAGGGUUAGUGCAAACGGAAGGGUCGGAACAAUAGCUGCUGUAUACACAGCUGCAAUUCUCGAAUACUUGACUGCAGAAGUGCUAGAACUGGCAGGUAACGGGAGCAAGGAUUUAAAUUAUAAAGAUGGAUUCAAACAACUGAUAUUUUGAAUUACAAACUGCUCCCUGAUAGAAAAAAGAGCAUAUUUAUAUAUGUUCAGAGUAUUGAUUUGAGUUAAAUGUUUUGAUAAGUUGUAUUCAUCUUCUUCAAUUUCUUAAAAAUUAUCUGAGUUUCCAUUUCUUUAAAAUUCCUUCUAAAUAACCAUGAGGUGAUGAAAAGGUGCUUCAGAUAGUAGCAAAGGAGUAGGCCAAUAGCAGAUAAAAUAAGGGGUCAUUUUCAAGACAUUUUUGAGCUAAUGGCAGUGGCAAAUCCAUGAAGCUGUGGGUCAAAUGAAGAAAUUGGAACGCGGUUUUACCACGACUCUUUGACAAAACCUAAUCUUCAUAGAUUGUUUGUUGCUUUAGAACUUCUAUUUUGUCAUCUUUUAUUUGAGAUUUCAUUGUAUGGUCUAUAUUACAUUUUGACCAUCGAAUUGUAAAUAAUUACUAUAUAAUUAUUAAUAUCAUUAAUUUAUGACAUUUUAAUUAUUAAA
This is an RNA transcript of Gossypium raimondii (Peruvian cotton), 2799 nucleotides long. RefSeq lists it as uncharacterized. The record is from RefSeq and is a predicted model, not a curated record. Lineage: Eukaryota; Viridiplantae; Streptophyta; Magnoliopsida; Malvales; Malvaceae. The transcript is spliced from 2 exons.